Small nucleolar RNA from Arvicanthis niloticus (Nile rat), 132 nucleotides. RefSeq annotates it as small nucleolar RNA SNORA17. The record is from RefSeq and is a predicted model, not a curated record. Lineage: Eukaryota; Metazoa; Chordata; Mammalia; Rodentia; Muridae.
CCUGCCCCUAGAGGCAUUGCAGGUGUGACUGCCGCAUCACAUGUGCAUCAGUAGAUGGCAGAGAAGAAAGAAGCUACAUCUACACAGUGUUCUGACCAGUGAACAUCUAGUAAUAAUUAGUAGCCUAACACG